RNAcentral lists this ribosomal RNA (1345 nucleotides) under uncultured bacterium. Its description in RNAcentral is "bacterial SSU rRNA". It matches the Rfam family "Bacterial small subunit ribosomal RNA", at positions 28 to 1381 of the family's 1533-position model. The record is from RNAcentral.
GAUGAACGCUAGCGGGAGGCCUAACACAUGCAAGCCGAGCGGUAUUGUUUCUUCGGAAAUGAGAGAGCGGCGUACGGGUGCGGAACACGUGUGCAACCUGCCUUUAUCUGGGGGAUAGCCUUUCGAAAGGAAGAUUAAUACUCCAUAAUAUAUUGAACGGCAUCGUUUAAUAUUGAAAGCUCCGGCGGAUAGAGAUGGGCACGCGCAAGAUUAGCUAGUUGGUGAGGUAACGGCUCACCAAGGCGAUGAUCUUUAGGGGGCCUGAGAGGGUGAUCCCCCACACUGGUACUGAGACACGGACCAGACUCCUACGGGAGGCAGCAGUGAGGAAUAUUGGUCAAUGGGUGCAAGCCUGAACCAGCCAUCCCGCGUGAAGGACGACUGCCCUAUGGGUUGUAAACUUCUUUUGUAUAGGGAUAAACCUACCCUCGUGAGGGUAGCUGAAGGUACUAUACGAAUAAGCACCGGCUAACUCCGUGCCAGCAGCCGCGGUAAUACGGAGGGUGCAAGCGUUAUCCGGAUUUAUUGGGUUUAAAGGGUCCGUAGGCGGACUUAUAAGUCAGUGGUGAAAGCCUGUCGCUUAACGAUAGAACUGCCAUUGAUACUGUAAGUCUUGAGUAUAUUUGAGGUAGCUGGAAUAAGUAGUGUAGCGGUGAAAUGCAUAGAUAUUACUUAGAACACCAAUUGCGAAGGCAGGUUACCAAGAUAUAACUGACGCUGAGGGACGAAAGCGUGGGGAGCGAACAGGAUUAGAUACCCUGGUAGUCCACGCCGUAAACGAUGCUAACUCGUUUUUGGGCUUUAGGGUUCAGAGACCAAGCGAAAGUGAUAAGUUAGCCACCUGGGGAGUACGCUCGCAAGAGUGAAACUCAAAGGAAUCGACGGGGGCCCGCACAAGCGGUGGAUUAUGUGGUUUAAUUCGAUGAUACGCGAGGAACCUUACCAAGACUUAAAUGGGAAUUGACAGCUUUAGAAAUAGAGCUUUCUUCGGACAAUUUUCAAGGUGCUGCAUGGUUGUCGUCAGCUCGUGCCGUGAGGUGUUAGGUUAAGUCCUGCAACGAGCGCAACCCCUGUCACUAGUUGCCAUCAUUCAGUUGGGGACUCUAGUGAGACUGCCUACGCAAGUAGAGAGGAAGGUGGGGAUGACGUCAAAUCAUCACGGCCCUUACGUCUUGGGCCACACACGUAAUACAAUGGCCGGUACAGAGGGCAGCUACACAGCGAUGUGAUGCAAAUCUCGAAAGCCGGUCUCAGUUCGGAUUGGAGUCUGCAACUCGACUCUAUGAAGCUGGAAUCGCUAGUAAUCGCGCAUCAGCCAUGGCGCGGUGAAUACGUUCCCGGGCCU